Molecule: long non-coding RNA, 3209 nt
Filed under: Sus scrofa (pig)
Lineage: Eukaryota; Metazoa; Chordata; Mammalia; Artiodactyla; Suidae
Description: lncRNA (ENSSSCG00000051810.1)
Source: RNAcentral
AUCACAAAGCAGCAUCAUAUGAGGCUGCUUUUUGGAAUCCUAAGGUCUUUACUGUUAAACUAUAGUUGUUUGGAAACCAAACUAGGAGAAAGAAUAUUUAAUGAGAAAUCAGAAAACCUGGAUUCUAAGCUUGCCUUUCCUCUCUGAUAUUUGUAAAUGUGUAAGUCACUUAACCUCUCUAAACAUUAGUUUGCUUAUCUGUAAAACAUGGCUAAUAACCCCAUGUGUUGUUGUAUUUCAUGGAAUUAUUUUGAGAGUCAAAUGAAUGAUGUAGAAAAGCUUCGUAAAUCGAGAAAGGAUUGUACAAAUGUAAAAUCAAUAUCAGCUGCUCAUGGGUAUACUAUUAUUUUUACAAUGGAUUAAGAUUUUUUUUCUCAUAUUCUUUUCCUUCACUCCCACACAGAGGGAGUAAAGAAUGUAUAUGCCUUCAUGGAUCUGGGGCAGUUCUUGGUUUGCUGUUUUUCACUGCUCUCUUGCCCUGAAACACGGCUCCUCCAGAGUGAAAAUGAUAGGGAAGGAAAUCCCAGGAGACUUGCUUCAUCAAAAGUCAUGUUUGAAUGUGGUUUUUGUGCCUCUUUGAAGUCGAUGUUUGAUUGUAAUUUUAAAUACUUGUACCUUUCCUAGGUAUUUUUAUAGUGCCUGUGGAGAGAAGAAUAUAAAUUAUACCAUCACUAUAAAAAUUUUUAAUAUAUUGUCAACAUUUUCUUGAUAUCUUUAGAUUAAUUUCACUUGAGUGAGUUUAGCCUAUGAUUGGCCAGUUAAGAAAAUACUGCCCCCUCAAAUGUGAAGUAGUAUUUUUACUGUUACAGUUUUGAAUCUUAACUUAGAAUUUUCCAUCAGUCCAAAGUGGCAUAAAUUCAAAUAAGAAAUACUUAACAAUAGUUUAAAGUACAGUUGUCUGUGGCUACUUGUAAAGUUAAACAGCUAAAAUGUAAAAUGUGGUUUAACGUUCAGUGGACACCCUUUGUAAUACUAAUAUAGGGAUAGGACUCAUAUUCGGUCAAAGGGUAUGAUCUGUUCUAAGAUUUAGAAUAGAAUUAAGGAAUCAGAAGAAACAGAUGGGAAAUGCAUGGCCCCCAAAAGAUGAUACUUGCUAAGAUCAUACAUGAGCAGGCCUAAAACUCCAGUUAUCUUUAUACCUUGGUGGGUGUUCUUUCCAUUACUUGUGCAUGUUCUUUCCAUGCACACACACACUUGUAUUGAAGAAAAGGGGAAAUGUUAUCCAACUGAAUCCACAAAAUACUAAAAUUGAGCUAAAUCAUUGUGAUACUAUAAAUGAGCUAUUUGUGGUGAAACAGUAUUAAAAUGAAUAAUGGCUAUGGAGAUCUGAGUUCUUACACCAGAUUGCCAAAUACCUGUAUAAGCUUAGCCAGACAUCUUUAUCUAUUUAUCUAUCCAUCUAUCUCCAAAAAUAUAUAAAUAGCUGACUUAUUUUCUUACCUUUCAACAUAGAGAAUUAUGGGUAUAAUAAUGCCAAUGUAUUAAAAAUAUUUGCUCCAGGCAAAACAUUUUGACUAAGGUUCUUAGAAAUUAAAUAUACUUGACUUCACAUUAAAACUAUUUCAGUUAAAUUUAAACUUUGUUUAAAUUUAAAAGUUAAAGUUAAUGAAUGAGAAGCUAAUUACUAAGUACUUUAAAUAUGAUUAAAAAGAAACGAAAAGCUAUUCAAUCAUAAUAAACUUGUCCCUGACAGAAAUUGCUCAUCUUCAGCUGCAUUAACACUUUCAAUGCAUGUAGUGAUGUGAUGUUUCAUUAAAUGGUAAGCUUAAGCCAAAAUGAUUAUGUAGUCAGAGUGCUUUAAAUGUGGCCUUUAUAUACAUAACAGUAACAAACAAAAUUUUUUGAGCCUGAAAACUAGUUUACUUUAGGUUUCCAAAAUUCUCAAAGCACUGUUUUUUAUUUGUCUGUUUGUUUUGUUUUGUUGGUAGCAACCAAAGCCAUCAUUUCUAUUGUUAAAUGACUAUGGCAGUCUUUUUAUCCAACAUUACAUCAUAAAAAAGCUGAAUCUGUGGGUUAACAAAAUCAUUUUAGGUGUGCUUUUGUCAGAUUUUAUAUUGCCUUUUGUUAAGUUAAGAACAGAGUUUCCUUUGACUUAAAAGAGCGCACUAUAUUUGAAUUAUUUUCUUAGUUCUGACACAGUGAGAAGGAGCCUAAGGACCCAUGUGAUACACUAACUCAUUUGUUCCCCACUAACUACUUGGAGAGAUUUAGCUGGAAAUGCAAAGGAAAGGAGUAAUCAUUAAGAAAAAAUAAUGAAAGACUACAAAGGCUGUAAAGUUAGAUCCUAUGUAUUUUAAAAUAGUAGAAUGCAUUCCCAUUAGAAGCUAAUUCUCAGAUAUUCCACAGCUAACAAAUAGCCAUCUCUGCUUCAGAAUCUUUCUAAAUUCCAGUGUUUUCAGAGUUCCCAUCGUGCCUCAGCGGUUAACGAAUAUGACUAACAUUCACAAGGUCGCAGGUUCGAUCCUUGGCCUCACUAAGUGGGCUAAGGAUCCGGCAUUCCAUGAGCUGUGGUGUAGGUCACAGACAUGGCUCAGAGCCUGCGUUGCUGUGGCUGUAGCAUAGGCCGGUGGGUACAGCUCUGAUUAGACCCGUAGCCUGGGAGUCUCCAUAUGCCGCAGGUGUGGCACUUAAAAAAAAAAAAGGCAAAAAAAAAAAAAAAAAAAUCCAGUGUUUUCCUCAAACUUUCCUGAGCAACUGAUCUUAAAAUAAUGAACAAACUUCUCCUGAAUCUGAAUGAACUUCUGCAUGAAUUGGUAUUUCCAAAAUCUUAAUAACACAAGUGAUGAGCUGUGACAAUCUAGUCAAUUAUUACAUAAUCGAAUUUACUUACUACGCAUAAUCAUGAUACAGAAGAAAUGAAUAGAAAAGAAAAAAAUUUAAAUAUAUUUUUAAAAAACCCAUCUCUGGGAUGUUGUCUCUCUGGAUAAAUUUUUUUUUUUGUCUCUUUUAAAAUAGUGCCUAAAACAUUGUCUUAUCUCUGUGACAUUCAGUGACUACUAAUUGAUGGUUAUUAUGUUGAAUUAAUCCUAUUAAAUAUGGGUUCCAUAUAUUUAGUUUUAAUUUAUAUGUUCCAUGGAGAAACAAACAUGUUUUGCUAUAGUCAUCUUUUGCUAUUUUGUAGAAUGACAGCCAUUGGAAAAAAGAUAUGUAUAAACUUUUUGAAGUAUGUUAUUAGCGUUAUUUGAUUUUAAAUAAUAAAUAAAAAGAAU